GACGAACGCUGGCGGCGUGCUUAACACAUGCAAGUCGAACGGAAAGGCCCUGCUUUUGUGGGGUGCUCGAGUGGCGAACGGGUGAGUAACACGUGAGUAACCUGCCCUUGACUUUGGGAUAACUUCAGGAAACUGGGGCUAAUACCGGAUAGGAGCUCCUGCUGCAUGGUGGGGGUUGGAAAGUUUCGGCGGUUGGGGAUGGACUCGCGGCUUAUCAGCUUGUUGGUGGGGUAGUGGCUUACCAAGGCUUUGACGGGUAGCCGGCCUGAGAGGGUGACCGGCCAAAAUGGGACUGAGGUACGGCCCAGACUCCUACGGGAGGGAGGAGGGGGGAAUAUUGCAACAUGGGCGGAAGCCUGAUGCAGCAACGCCGCGUGCGGGAUGACGGCCCUCGGGUUGUAAACCGCUUUCGCCUGUGACGAAGCGUGAGUGACGGUAAUGGGUAAAGAAGCACCGGCUAACUACGUG
RNAcentral lists this ribosomal RNA (468 nucleotides) under uncultured bacterium. RNAcentral's name for it is "partial 16S ribosomal RNA". It matches the Rfam family "Bacterial small subunit ribosomal RNA", at positions 28 to 507 of the family's 1533-position model. The record is from RNAcentral.